UACGAACCGAGCGACCGUUGUUCGGAAUCACUGGGCUUAAAGGGCGCGUAGGCGGGUGCUCAAGUCCGUGGUGAAAUCCUCCGGCUCAACCGGAGAACUGCCUCGGAUACUGGGUGACUCGAGGGUGGUAGGGGUAUGCGGAACUAUCGGUGGAGCGGUGAAAUGCGUUGAUAUCGAUAGGAACACCGGUGGCGAAGGCGGCAUACUGGACCACCUCUGACGCUGAGGCGCGAAAGCGAGGGGAGCAAACGGG
RNAcentral lists this ribosomal RNA (253 nucleotides) under uncultured bacterium. Its description in RNAcentral is "partial 16S ribosomal RNA". It matches the Rfam family "Bacterial small subunit ribosomal RNA", at positions 524 to 776 of the family's 1533-position model. The record is from RNAcentral.